This 502-nucleotide ribosomal RNA is filed under the name uncultured bacterium. RNAcentral describes it as "partial 16S ribosomal RNA". It matches the Rfam family "Bacterial small subunit ribosomal RNA", at positions 29 to 507 of the family's 1533-position model. The record is from RNAcentral.
AGCGAACGCUGGCGGCGUGCCUAACACAUGCAAGUCGAACGUGAAAGGGAGCAAUUCCAAGUAAAGUGGCGUACGGGUGACUAACACGUAGGUAAUCUACCCCAGAAUCUGGAAUAACCGGUCGCAAGGCUGGCCAAUACUUGAUAGAGCGACGGAAUCCGUAAUUGGGUUUUCCGGGAAAGGGAGCCCGUAAAAAGGCCCUCGUUCAUGGAUGAGCCUGCGUCCCAUCAGCUAGUUGGUGAGGUAAAAGCUUACCAAGGCAAUGACGGGUAGCUGGUCUGAGAGGACGAUCAGCCACACUGGAACUGAAACACGGUCCAGACUCCUACGGGAGGCAGCAGUGGGGAAUCUUGCGCAAUGGACGAAAGUCUGACGCAGCAACGCCGCGUGAGUGAAGAAGGCCUUCGGGUUGUAAAGCUCUGUCGAGUGGGACGAAAAUGCUUGGAGUUCACAGCUCCAGGAACUGACGGUACCACUAAAGGAAGCACCGGCUAACUCCGUG